Molecule: long non-coding RNA, 487 nt
Organism: Conger conger (European conger)
Lineage: Eukaryota; Metazoa; Chordata; Actinopteri; Anguilliformes; Congridae
Exons: 3
Source: RefSeq, a predicted model, not a curated record
CCCCAGGAACUAUUUGCAAAUCAGUAGCCCUGCUGGCACAGUAAAGUGACAUUCUAUUUCUUGUGUACAGAUUUUUGCCAACUGCUGACACAAUGUAACUGUCUCAUCUUUUUGUAAACCUUGUUAUGUGUUCUUUAUUCAUGGUCUAGAGAUCUGAUCCAUUUUACAUUGAGCUUCACUUGAAAGUCACCACCUGCACAAAAACAGAAAAGACCACACAACGAGAUGACUGCCCAUUUAUGGACCGAAGGCCACUUAUCAACUGCGCUGUUUGCAAUAAAGGGACUGAGUCCGGCCUCUACGUUCACUGCGCUCCGCAACUGCAAGUAAAUCAGAGAGAUCGGAAAAAGAACUGCCCAAGCUACUUCCCUGGAAGUGUAUUACUUUUGGGCGCCCCCCCUAAACCUCUGGCUCCGUGAUGGCUCUGUGAUGGUUCAAUGCUGUCUGAAAUAAUACGCAUUCCCUUUUCUGCUUUGAAUGAAUGUAC